UACGUAGGGUGCAAGCGUUAAUCGGAAUUACUGGGCGUAAAGCGUGCGCAGGCGGUGAUGUAAGACAGGUGUGAAAUCCCCGGGCUUAACCUGGGAACUGCAUUUGUGACUGCAUCGCUGGAGUGCGGCAGAGGGGGAUGGAAUUCCGCGUGUAGCAGUGAAAUGCGCAGAUAUGCGGAGGAACACCGAUGGCGAAGGCAAUCCCCUGGGCCUGCACUGACGCUCAUGCACGAAAGCGUGGGGAGCAAACAGG
Molecule: ribosomal RNA, 253 nt
Filed under: uncultured bacterium
Lineage: Bacteria
Description: partial 16S ribosomal RNA
Rfam family: Bacterial small subunit ribosomal RNA
Source: RNAcentral